RNAcentral lists this ribosomal RNA (252 nucleotides) under uncultured bacterium. RNAcentral describes it as "partial 16S ribosomal RNA". It matches the Rfam family "Bacterial small subunit ribosomal RNA", at positions 524 to 776 of the family's 1533-position model. The record is from RNAcentral.
UACGUAGGUCCCGAGCGUUGUCCGGAUUUAUUGGGCGUAAAGCGAGCGCAGGUGGUUUAUUAAGUCUUGUGUAAAAGGCAGUGGCUCAACCAUUGUAUGCAUUGGAAACUGGUAGACUUGAGUGCAGGAGAGGGGAGUGGAAUUCCAUGUGUAGCGGUGAAAUGCGUAGAUAUAUGGAGGAACACCGGUGGCGAAAGCGGCUCUCUUGCCUGUAACUGACACUGAGGCUCGAAAGCGUGGGGAGCAAACAGG